This 468-nucleotide ribosomal RNA is filed under the name uncultured bacterium. RNAcentral describes it as "partial 16S ribosomal RNA". It matches the Rfam family "Bacterial small subunit ribosomal RNA", at positions 28 to 507 of the family's 1533-position model. The record is from RNAcentral.
GACGAACGCUGGCGGCGUGCUUAACACAUGCAAGUCGAACGGAAAGGCCCUGCUUUUGUGGUGUGCUCGAGUGGCGAACGGGUGAGUAACACGUGAGUAACCUGCCCUUGACUUUGGGAUAACUUCAGGAAACUGGGGCUAAUACCGGAUAGGAGCUCCUGCUGCAUGGUGGGGGUUGGAAAGUUUCGGCGGUUGGGGAUGGACUCGCGGCUUAUCAGCUUGUUGGUGGGGUAGUGGCUUACCAAGGCUUUGACGGGUAGCCGGCCUGAGAGGGUGACCGGCCCCAUUGGGCCUGAGAUACGGCCCAGACUCCUACGGGAGGAAGCAGUGGGGAAUAUUGCACAAUGGGCGGAAGCCUGAUGCAGCAACGCCGCGUGCGGGAUGACGGCAUUCGGGUUGUAAACCGCUUUCGCCUGUGACGAAGAGUGAGUGACGGUAAUGGGUAAAGAAGCAACGGCUAACUACGUG